Molecule: ribosomal RNA, 303 nt
Filed under: Triticum aestivum (bread wheat)
Lineage: Eukaryota; Viridiplantae; Streptophyta; Magnoliopsida; Poales; Poaceae
Description: partial small subunit ribosomal RNA
Source: RNAcentral
AUGAAAAAAAGUGGAGGGCUUCUUAUUCCACAAGAACGAAAGCACCUUUUCAUUCUUUCAUAUACUAGGGGUUUUUACUUGGAAAAGACAAUGUUCCAUACUAAAGGAUUCGGGUCCAUAACCACGAGUUCCAGUGCACUAGAUCUUGUAGCACUUAGCAACGAAGCCCUAUCCAUUAGUAUUCCACAUAAGAAAUCCAUUCUAGAAAAAAAUACAAUUAGAUUAGCUCUUCAUAGACAAACUUGGGGUUUGCGAGCCAAGGUAAGAUCGGCUCGGGAUCAUGGGACCUUUUCUAUCAGAUAG